GAGGGUAUAACUCAGUGGUUAGAGUGUGUGCCUAUCCUGCACAGAGGUCCUGGGUUCAAUCCCCAGUACUUCCA
RNAcentral lists this transfer RNA (74 nucleotides) under Camelus bactrianus (Bactrian camel). It matches the Rfam family "tRNA". From Rfam's summary of the family: Transfer RNA (tRNA) molecules are approximately 80 nucleotides in length. Their secondary structure includes four short double-helical elements and three loops (D, anti-codon, and T loops). Further hydrogen bonds mediate the characteristic L-shaped molecular structure. tRNAs have two regions of fundamental functional importance: the anti-codon, which is responsible for specific mRNA codon recognition, and the 3' end, to which the tRNAs corresponding amino acid is attached (by aminoacyl-tRNA synthetases). tRNAs cope with the degeneracy of the genetic code in two manners: having more than one tRNA (with a specific anti-codon) for a particular amino acid; and 'wobble' base-pairing, i.e. permitting non-standard base-pairing at the 3rd anti-codon position. Lineage: Eukaryota; Metazoa; Chordata; Mammalia; Artiodactyla; Camelidae. The record is from Rfam by way of RNAcentral. RNAcentral also lists the same sequence under 2 other names.